This is a long non-coding RNA of Cyprinus carpio (common carp), 6383 nucleotides long. The record is from Ensembl. NCBI's taxonomy places the organism in Eukaryota, Metazoa, Chordata, Actinopteri, Cypriniformes, Cyprinidae.
GAAAUUAAAUAUUAAUGUGUGAAAGUCUCACUAAUGACACUGAUUUACGACGUGGAUGGAUAAGAGCGCUCUCGUCCCGGUUGCGGGGACUCUUAUUUUGACGGAACGCAGCUCAUACGGUGGGGUGCUUCAGAGUGCGCGCGCGCCGCGAUCCAGUCUUGCAUCAGCCGUCAUCUUCAGAGAGAACGAGCUGUGAAAUUCCCUGACUAAAUUCAGUUUGAUCUUCGUUAUGUUCCUAUGAGUGUUUAAAGUUGUGUGCGUCCAGAGAGAAAGUGAGUACUAUAGAUUCCACUGUCACUCAAGCCGAGUUGAUUGCUGUUUGCUGAGAUAGAGAUGUGGAGAGAGUUAUGACACAAAGUGGAUGCUAAUGUGAAGUAUAGAAGUAUUUGAGUUUCAUCCAGUACAGUGUAAUUAUGUAUAAUUAUUAUACAUGUAAGCUGUGGAUUAUGUUUCAUGUUCUGCUGUAUUCAACGGCAACAUUGUGUUGAUGUUUGGGGAAGCCAAUAGUUUUAAUGCCAUUUAUGUUGUUAUGAGUGUGAUUGUGAUAAGAACACAGACACGUCUCAUCUUGUACAAGUUUGUUACAGCAUAUGCAUGAUCUAGAGGGGUGGAGCUCUCACCAUGAGGGAGCGGCUAUGAUGAUGCCCGCUGAAAGAACACAUGUCACAAGGUCCCCUCGUCAGGUUCAGUGGGAGUCUGAUAUUAGUGAGCAUGAUGAAGACUACUCUCCCAGCUAUGAUACACGUUCAACUGGCCGACGUGCAGAGUGGACAGACACUCCGACACCCUUUGCAAGAGACGAAAAUGAGCUGUAUGAGAUGCGUAGAGAGAACACAUCAUUAUGCCGAUCAGAAGAGAAAAGGCAGAGCGGCCAUGCACAGCUUUGGAGUAUUCAGAGGGAAAUGCAUUCUCCGGUAGCCUCAGUUAGGACAGAGCAGGGGGCACGACAAGAAUCGUGGCCAGUACCACCCCCUCCUAUAAAGGAUCACUUUCCGACCCGAAGGGAAGAAGAGGAGUAUGACGACUGGCUACCGCCUCCACCAUGGCCCUCUGCUGAACCACCAUCAAUGCCUCCAGAGGGUGAGGAGACCCAGAUGGUCACAAUGAUAGAUAGAAUGAUGAAGGAACUCCAGCUAAUCAGAGAUAGUGCUGUAUCUAACUCAGCAACUAGAAGUAAUCUGUCUUCAACCCCUAAGAGACCACCAGCUAGGAAGUUUCAUGAUACUCAGCCUCUGACUCACGGGUCGCAUUUUUACUCACCAGGCAUCAGCUCUCCUCCUGUUAUGGACUCGGCUAAAUCUGGGCCUUUACCUAAACACAUACCAGGACCUCACAUGACUCAUCGUACCCCCUCUCAAGACAUACCAUACCAGCCUUUAUCAGCUAUGGUGAAGGAAAAAGAAUACCAUGGGCCAACGCCGAAAAUUCCCCUCUUCAUCCAUAGGGACCCCAUGGAAUUCUCCCGCCUGAAGCUUGCCCUAAUGAAUCUGUUGCCAAGGGAUGCCACUGAGCUCUUCAAAUAUCAGGUUCUCGUGGACCAUCUGAGGUUGGAGGAGGCUUGCCUUAUAGCCGACUCAUACAUCAAUUCGCAUACGCCGUACUCAGACACAAUGGCCGCAUUGAAUGAGAAGUUCGGGCAGCCACAUCAAGUCGCCUUAAAGAGGAUUGCUGCUGUCAUGGACUCACCAGAGAUAAGGCGGGGUGAUACAGCAGCCUUUGAGAAGUUUGCUUUGCAUGUUCAGUCGUUAGUGGGCAUGUUAAAGACCCUGGGCUCUGAUGGAGAAGUUGAGCUGAGAUGCGGCUCACACGUUGCACGGCUGCUCACGAAACUUCCGCCUGAGUUGAGGGCAAAUUUCAGACGUCAGAUGUUCCAUCGACCUGGCUCUACUCAUAACCUGCUUGACUUAGCAGAGUGGCUCCAGUAUGAGUCGUGGUGUCAAAGUUAUGACACCCUAUCUGACACCCGAGUCCAAGGGUCACUGAGCCACAAAGCUGAGAAGCGACACAGUAGAUCAGCGGCUACCGUGCUACAUGGGGCAGAGAGCUCUGGAGGUAGUAAGGCCACAAAGCAAGAUGGUCAGAGUUCCUCAGAUUUCAAAAGGAGAGGCAAGAUAAAGCCGUACUGCCCAUAUUGUGAGAGUUCAGAACAUUUUCUGAAUAAGUGCCCAGCCAUUCAGAAGUUCACAAGGGAGGAAGUCAUAGAGUGGAUCAAGGUAAAUAAAAGAUGCUGGAGAUGUGGGAGGGCCCACCUAGCUGCACAGUGCGACCUCAAAAGACUCUGUGACCUGUGCCAAGGAAAGCACUUGAGAGUUCUCCACAGUGUGAACACCCGUCCCACUGCAGAGCCACCCAAAGUAGAGAGUUGUCUAGUGAACAACGGUACCGAGGUUCUUUACCUGGAUCGGCCAUCAACUUCCACUCGUGUCCUAUUAAAGGUUGUGAGAGUGCUUCUUCGGAACAAGGACCGAACUCUUGACACCUACGCGGUAUUGGAUGAUGGAUCGGAACGCACAAUGCUCCUUCCAGAAGCUGUUGACCGACUUGGUUUGCAAGGUAGACAAGAGGAUCUUGUCCUUCGCACAAUACGACAGGAUGUCCAAACCUUGAAGGGAUCAUCCGUCUCAUUCUGCAUAUCACCCCUUGCACAUCCCAGAAGAAGUUUUCAGGUAGCCGAGGCGUUCACUUCACAGCGCCUCAGUCUUGCUGAUCACUCAUAUCCCAUCUCCAUGUUGAAGAGGAAAUAUAAGCAUCUGGCAGACCUCCCUAUUGAACCAUUCGAGCAUGUCAAGCCACUUGUAUUGAUAGGAGCGGAUCACCCCCAUCUGCUCACUCCAGUCGAGCCAGUGAGGUUAGGCCCUCCAGGGGGACCGGCAGCUAUCCGUACAAGACUGGGUUGGACGCUUCAGGGACCGACUCACCUCAUCCAGUGGAUAGCAUACGCAGAACAGUGCCUCCUUACCAGUGUUUCACCGCAGACAACAGAGUUGAUGAGAAAUGUUGAGAAACUCUGGCAGAUGGAUGUGCUGCCUUUUCAGAGGGACAAGAUGGCAGUGAGAUCGAAGCAAGACAAGGAGGCAAUAGAGCACCUGGAGGCAAAGACAAGGAGGAUAGAAGUUGCUGGCAUCUUUCGGUAUGCUACUCCGUUGCUACGGAAACAAGAUAUGCCCCUGUUCCGCGCAUCCAAAGAGGCGGUUCUACCGAGCUUGAGGAGUACAGAGAAAAGAUUGGCUAAGGAUCCUCAACGUGCCAAAGCUUACUGUGAGGCAGUCAAUCAGCUGGUACAAUCAGGAGCUGUUAAGAAGUUGGGCCCAGAUGAGAUCUCAAUGACUGGUGAAUCAUGGUACAUACCUCAUCACCUAGUUAGCCAUAAUGGGAAGAAUCGGCUUGUUUUCAACUGUUCCUACCAGUAUCGUGGACUGAAUCUGAAUGAUGCCCUUCUUCCAGGACCGACCUUGGGCGCAUCUCUUCUUGGGGUCCUGCUGCGCUUUAGGCAACAAGCAGUAGCAAUUAGUGGAGAUAUCAGGGGUAUGUUCCACCAAGUCCAGCUUCUGCCAGAAGACCGGCCACUUCUCAGGUUUGUGUGGAGAGAUAUGAAGCGAGAGGAUCCCCCUGAUACCUUCGAAUGGCAAGUUCUGCCUUUUGGUACCACCUGCUCACCUUGUUGUGCCACCUUUGCUCUUCAACGGCAUGCUAGAGAUCACAGUGUUCCAGGGGAUGGUGUCAGAGACUCUGUAGAACACUGUUUCUACGUUGAUAAUUGCCUUCAGAGCGUGUCAACUGCAGCUGAAGCCAGAGGAUUGGUCGACAAACUCAGGGAGACUCUGGCAUCGGGUGGAUUUGAGAUCCGUCAGUGGGCAUGUAACAUCCCGAGUGCCAUCGGACAUCUGCCAAAGGAAGCAAGGUCGGACAGUAUGGAGCGCUGGCUCUCACAUGAUGACACAGGUCUGUCUGAAUCAACUCUUGGACUUAGUUGGCAUUGGGAAUCAGACAUCUUGGGGUAUAAGAGCCGCCCACUGGACUAUGGCAUACUGACUAUGCGCAAUGUGUAUAAAGUUCUAGCUCGGCAGUAUGACCCUCUGGGUUUCAUAUUACCCUACACAACCCGCGCCAAGUUGCUUGUCCAAAGAAUGUGGGAUAAGCACCGUCACUGGGACGACCCCCUCCUCCCUCAGGAGCUCCAGUUAGCUUGGAAAGAGUGGGAAGACGAACUCCAUCUGUUGCCUCGCAUAACCUUACCUCGAUCUUAUGUUCCAGCUCACGUGGGUCAAACGGUUGUCUCUAGACAGAUCCACAUAUUCAGCGAUGCGUCGGAGAAAGCCUAUGGCUCUGUUUCUUACCUGCGGACCGAGGAUGCCCAAGGCCAAGUCUACCUGUCCUUCCUGGCAGCGAGAUCAAGAGUCGCUCCCCGGCGACAACACUCCAUUCCACGUCUUGAGCUCUGCGGUGCUCUAACAGCAGCCCAACUGGCAAAGAUGUUGGAAGGGGAGCUGACCUUGAAGAUUGAUAAGACUAUACUUUGGAGUGAUUCAACUACGGUGCUUACCUGGCUGCAGUCGGAGUCGUGCCGUUUCAAGGUAUUUGUGGGCACCCGUGUAGCUGAAAUUCAGGAGCUCACGGAACCCAGUGCCUGGCGGUAUGUGGACUCCUCACUGAAUCCAGCCGAUGAUGUCACGCGGGGUAAGACUCUUGGGGAGCUCGCCGUGCCUAAUCACUGGAGUCAAGGGCCCCCUUUCCUCCUCAAGGGACCCCACGAAUGGCCAUCUCAAUUACCUAGGCUGCCUGAUUCAGAUUUGUCAGAGUACAGGAAGUCAGUUUCCUGUGGUAUUGUGACUAACGGUGACUGGCCAUGUUCUCUACAGGGUGGCCAACACACUUGGAAGGAUCUGGUUGAGGCUACGGUGCGUGAGCUUCACGGGGCGGCAGGACUGGGUAGUGAGGUUACUGCUUCAGACUAUCAUCAAGCAGAAAUGAUCAUCUACAAGAGAAUCCAGCAGGACUGCUUCCCAGAAGAACUGCUCCACCUCAAGAAGGGCAAGUCAGUACCAAAUAGUAGUCGACUACUUACCUUGUCCCCAGAGUUAGACCCUGAGGAUGCGAUCAUACGUGUUGGUGGUAGAUUGCGGCGGGCUGAAGCUCUCGAUUCUGCUUUUAAACACCCGAUCGUCUUGGAUCCCAGUCAUCCAGCCACCAAGCUCCUUAUACAGGACUAUGACACUCGUCUCUGUCACCCUGGACCUGAACGGGUUUACGCAGAAAUGCGUCGCACUUUCUGGAUACUGCGCGGGAGAGAGGCAAUUCGUCAUAUACAACAUCUCUGUAAGGAGUGUAGGAGAUGGAAGGCCAAGCCAUCGGUGCCCAAGAUGUCAGACUUACCAGUGGCCCGUCUGCGUUUAUAUAAGCCAGCCUUCUAUUCCACGGGUGUGGACUGUUUUGGGCCUUUCCAGGUGAAGUUGGGACGCCGCUCUGAGAAGAGAUGGGGCAUUAUUUACAAAUGUCUCACCACACGAGCGGUGCACCUGGACCUCUUACACAGCUUGGAUUCAGACUCGUUUCUAAUGAGCCUCAGGAGAUUCAUUGCCCGUAGAGGUACGCCAGCUGAACUCUACUCGGAUCAGGGCACAAAUUUCAAGGCAGGAGAGAAAGAGCUUCGUGAGACAUUUGAUGGUCUAUCCUCAGAGCUUCAGCAACUUCUAGCGAAGCAGAAGAUUACUUUCCACCUCAACCCCCCAGCAGCACCCCAUUUUGGUGGGGCAUGGGAGCGAGAGAUAAGAUCAGUCAAAUCUGCUUUGUAUACAGUUAUAGGAGCUCAGCCAGUCUUUGAAGAAGUACUCCGUACCGUCUUGUUGGAAGUCGAGGCGAUACUGAACACAAAGCCACUGGGAUAUACCUCAGCCAAUAUAGCAGAUCUGGAUGCAAUCACUCCGAACAUCCUCUUGAUGGGGCGGCUAGAUGGUGCUUUGCCCCAGGUGGUAUACAACAAGAGUGAAGGCUUGAGUAGGAGAAGAUGGAGGCACUGUCAGGUCUUGGCAGACCACUUCUGGUCUAGGUUUAUCAGGUACUACUUACCCACCCUGCAGCCUCGACAGAAGUGGCAUACCACCAAUGUGGAUCUUGCAGUCAACUCUGUUGUUCUGAUGAUGGACCCACAGCUUCCCAGGGCUCUUUGGCCAGUCGGCAGAGUGACUAAGGUACAUCAGAGUGUUGAUGGUUGUGUAAGGUCAGCCGAUGUCCGGAUCAAGGACAAAGUCUACACCAGACCAGUUGCCCGUCUCAUUGCCCUUCCAGCUAUCCCAGAUUCAUAAUGGAUUCCAUCGUAGUGCCUAUGGAAGCGGCUGAGCAGUGAGCCUUUCUCAGGAGCAAAUUGCAUGCAAUUUGGGGGCGGC